GGCCCCGCAGGCCGGCACAGCCGCACCAUUAGGCCCCGCUCCAGCGCCAGGCCCGGCCCAGACAGCGCAGGGCGGGCAGCGCUUUGCCGGGACCGACAUCUCCCGCAGACCAGCACAGCACGGAACAGCACAGGCGCCGCAACGAGGCCAAGAAGCGACCACAGACUGGAGGGGGAUCGAGAGCCCCAGAGACCCCCAGACCUCAGACCUGUUUCCAGAAAGGUCUGAAAGAACAGCCUGUGCAUGACAACUCAUUGGCACAGAAGAGAGAAAGCCGCCUUCUGCAGGGAACCCUGUCCCUGCAAAGGUACCCCCAGCAAGCCCAGCAGCCUGGACAUCCCUCCAGCUGCAUCCACGCUGGACACCGGACUGACCCCUUGAACAGGAUGGCGGCGUCACCCAUUCUCAGAGGAAGAGAAUUCACCCAACCAAAGCCAACAGGAGUUUUCCCUGCAGGGAAGGCCAGAGCUGCCACCAAGGAGGGAAGCAGAGCCCCGUGGCUGUGGGAAGGACUGACCCUUUGCAGGCUGACAACAUGGUAAGUGGGUGCAGCUGUUGGAACAGUCCAAACCCUUCCCAACUGUCACCUGGACCUGGAGGCCCUCUUUGGUUGAGGCUGCAAUCCCUUGGAUGAAGUUGUCCCUGUGGAUACAAUUGGUACUUCAUGUUCCUAGGAAGGACCCUCCCCAGCUGGGCAAGCUUUGUGCAGCCCUGGUUUCUGUUGCACUCGGGGCAGCUCUUUCCCAUCCUGUCCAGAGCAAGACAAUGCCAUGACCCAGAUGGGAGUGCAGAGCAGGUCUGGACUGACAGGACAGUCAUCCACGACCACAUCAGCCUGACAUUCCCUGAUGAUGGCAACGGGAUGAACUCGGAGCAGCUGCACAAAAUACUAAGGCACUGUGCAACCUCUCUGGAGUGCCCAUUAGUGGAGAGAAAGACAAUUCAUAUGGUUGUGACUGUCUUUCCUUUCAGUUGGCAACCAAGAGAAGAGACAGACUCGGCUCCAAUCCUUUGGAGUAUUGAUAAGAGAAGUGCAGCUGUGGCAGUUCCCUGCUUAGAGAGAAGCUGGAAUUCGUUGGCACUGGAGCACAUUGUCCCAGGAAGCGACUACUCCCUGCCAGGACGUAGGAGAUGUUUUUCCAUUGGCCUUGGGUUUGGGAGCUGGAGGGUUUGUGGGUGUUGUUUUAAAAUCAGGUGUUUUGUGGGCUUUUGCAGUAUUUGGUACCCGAAGCCGAGCACGCAGAUCAUCCUGGGAGGACAAAGAGCCAAAACACAGCUGGUUUCCAAAGCUGUCUUCCCCCACACUUGUCAUGUGGGCACAGGGAUACCACACUUGCAAGGGCUUCUCCAAAGGUUUUUCUGCCAGGAGUGCUCCAGGCUUUCAGAAGCAGAGCAGCCCUGGGAGAGCAGCUGAGUGAUGACGGGAAGGAGCUGCAGAGGAAGAAGAAGGAGGAAUGUCCCUUGGCUGUGCCAGGUGAGGCGAUGCAGGGAGUGGCAAGGCCAGGGAGAGCAAAGGCCUUGCCAGGCUGUGGCUGUGGUUGGUUUCCCCCGAGUGCUGAGCAGGAGCCUUUGAUGGGCAAGCUGUGCUGGUUUUCCCUGGCAGAAAGCAGCCAGAGCAGCCGUGGGUGCAGUGCGAGGCGCGUGGGAAGGGUGGGAAGGUGGCGGAGGGAACG
Molecule: long non-coding RNA, 1673 nt
Filed under: Manacus vitellinus (golden-collared manakin)
Lineage: Eukaryota; Metazoa; Chordata; Aves; Passeriformes; Pipridae
Description: lncRNA (ENSMVIG00005016222.1)
Source: RNAcentral